AAUGGGAUAGCUGGGUAAAAUGGUGGUUCCAUUCCAAGUUUUCUAAGGAAUCUCCAUACUGCUUUCCAAUUGGUUGUACCAAGUUGCAGUCCCACCAGCAAU
RNAcentral lists this microRNA precursor (102 nucleotides) under Marmota monax (woodchuck). The record is from RNAcentral. Lineage: Eukaryota; Metazoa; Chordata; Mammalia; Rodentia; Sciuridae.